AAAAUCAAAAAAUAUUUGGAUUUUUUGCAGCUUCAAUGGCUAUUUUCUUAGUUACCUGGUUAUAGUGGGAAUUUCAUAUUAAGUUCACAUACAUAUUCAAAAUAUGAGGUUUUGCACAAUUAAAUUUGGACAAACCUUCUUAUUCAAUUAUUCACUAUUCAUUUGUGGGUUUCCAUAAUCAAGUAGUCAAAUUACCAUUGAUACAGGAUUUCUAAAUAUUGAAAAAAUUGAAACUUGCCACCGUCUCUAGCAAAUAGAGAUUUUAAUUUUAAAAACUUUGUUGCUGUUGUUGUUGUAGUACCAGAUUUUUAACCAAGCACUUUAUUUUUAGAUAUUUUACGUUACGGGCCAAGUUACUGAUAUCUCAGUAGAUGUUACAGCUCUAAGUAAGGGAGUAGUGUCAUCCCUAUUUCCCAGGGAUAUAAAAUCUCCUCACUCUAACCUCCCAUAUUUUCAGGCCAUUCUGUUCCAUUCAGUGACUCCCAGACUGAGCAGAACAACUUAUGGUCUGAAAAGAAAACUAGAAAGUUAUUCAUCUUUGUUUCAAAAGUAAUAAAAAUGAUGAACUGGAGCAGAAACAAUGCAAUGUCAUAGGGGAGAUUAUAUUGGAGCUGAAUAUUGAACUUGGUUCUCCUGGGUCUGUGCUAACCAUGCUAACACCUUACCCUCCAAUGCACUCUACCCGAGGCAGCUUCCAACAAAAGAAAGGCAAAACUUCUUGAGAUUUUAGACAAUGUUAGAGCUCAUGAAAUGCUCCCGACUAAAUGCUACCUUGUCAAACUUAGAACUUUGUAAAAGAGUCACUUGCACUGAACUCCUUUUAAAAUUCAGGUAAAUAAAAGUGGUCUGAUUAAGACACUGGUCAAGGGUUUUUCCCAUGGAAUGUUUACAAAAUUAUAAACUAGAGGCAAUCAGAAGUGUAGGUUCCUGAUGAUUAUGAAAAAUAGAUCAUUUGUAGAAUUUUCACUCAGAGGUCCUGUUUUUUGCAAUCUGACUUUGCAAAUACAGCCUUGUGUUCCUCUUCAUUCACAAAACUUGUGUGAAGAGUGGGCUUCCAACUAGCCUUAUGCCAAGACAAAAUUCUGUCAUGCACCAAGUUGCUUCAUUCCUGGAAAAAUUCUUCUGCAUGGGUGAGGUAAUCCCAAACACCCAUCUACUCUGCAAGCAAUAACAAUGCAGGAGUAUCAUGUGUGGGAGGUGGAAUCUGCAUCAGAUUGCCAAAACUGCUGUGUCUUUGCUUGGUAAUCCUCAAAGAGCAUGGCAUUUGGUGGAUAUCUGAGAGGACAUGAGAAGCUUGUUCAUAGCUUAGCCUCUGUCUUUGUAGAUCAAAGAGCAAACUUGUUUGGCUUGCUCUGAAACACACACAAUCUGAAAAUUAACAUUUUCUUAGGAAAUUAAAAGGACUAAGUAUUUGUAUUAGAAAACUAUAUCAGUCUUAACCUCUAUAUUCUACCAGCAUAAUGUCUUCAUCAGGCUAAAAUAUUCUCUGCAUCCAGAUGAGGAAUGUGGCUGGGCAAUGGGGAAUUCUGCAGGAGGAAAAAGAAUGUUAUUUUCCUUUUUUUCCUUCAUAUACCAGUUCAUAUUAUCUGUCUCCAUGCUUUCUUUCUCGAGAGCAGCAGGAGAAAUAAACAAAACAAACAAAGAGAAGAAAUGUAGCCCUUAGUAAAUCUAGUGGUACCUAACCAGAGAAAGGUUUUCAUUCCAAGUAGGAAUUGUAAUUUCUCUUAUAUAAAGCCCUGAAGUGGUGCAGAGAAGAUGUUGCCACUUCAAUUUGGUAAACACACAUACAGGCUUUUUUCUUCCUUAAGCCAUCAAGAAUAGAUACAGGUUUGUAAAACUUUGUCUUGUAAUCUUUGCAAGUACACAUGCAAGACAAAUUUUAACAGCUGAGACUGCCUAGACUCACUUCAGCAGACUGCAGCUUUCCACAAAGGCGUUCUACAGCAGCUCAAUAAGGUAAUCCAAAACCAGCAGGAGGUGAUCUGCUUUUUUUUACAUUCAAAAAAUAACUGCACAAAAUGAAGUUAAUUGUUCUCACAUUUGCCCAGUUUUCAGAUGAAUUCCUGUAUGAUUUCUCUUUAGAGCAUCCUGAAUGAGAAUCAAACGCAUGGUUUCACACAGCAGCAAUGAAUCCAAGCAAGCUGGUCUGCCUCUCAACAGUGGUGAAAAUGGGCAUACUAUCUUGGAACAUGCUAUGCAGCUGCUAUAUAUGUAUUAUAUGUCCACAUGCCUUCAGUCAGGGUAAGGGCGGGUUAUUUACAGCAGGAGGUGCUUGUGAGAGGUAUCAGUUGUAGCAGGUACACAAGCCCUUCUCCCACUCCCACACCAGGCCGGGGGUCGCACAGAAUGCCUCCGCAGGUCCUUCCUGUCCUUCUCUCAGCUCCUUCUCAGAGGAGGUGGGAUCCAAAGCAGCACUCCAGUGCAGCAGCUUAGGGUCCUGAGGAAGUCAUCAGCUCUCCAUGGAUGUCUGCCAGAACUGAGAGUGGCUCCUGUGGAUGUUCGCAUUGCACAAAAUCCAGCUCCCAUAGGAAACACCAAAAGUGAAUGCCUUAAAAGCAACUUUAUGGAGAUUUUUUCCAGGCAGUCUUUUGGGCAGAAAUACUUCUGAGAUUCUGCAGAGGCUUUUCUUGCAAAAAAUGUUCAAAAUAUUCACCUCAUUGCCUGAGAGAACUGCUCUUUACUAUCCAAGAGCUGUUCAUGAGUGGAUCUGUGACUCUGUGCCUAUCUCCUCCCAUGAGCAUUUGUAUUUUUUCUCAGCUAUUAACACCUUGGUUAAUUUUCCAAGAUUAGAAGCAAGGCCUUAAGAAUGACAAAUGACAAACACUACUGAAAAUAAAAGGGGAGAAUGAAGAAGACAGGCCCCCAAAACAAUAUCUGCUUUGCUGGGAUUUGAUUCUGCUGAGGAAUACUUUCUAGUGGAUAAGAAGAAGUCAUCACCUUUUCCAGAUGAUAAGAACCCAUAAUAGCUGUGCUCUCUGAGUCUCUUCUGAGUAUCUGCUCUUUACUUUCUUCCAAAUGAGUUCCUUGUAAAAAUGUCACAUUUUAGUGCUGCUCAAAGGAUACUUAAUAUUCUUCUUUUCUUAAAAGAGCUGUGUAUUCCCUGACAUCUGAGAUUUCUCUAAUCAGCUCUGAAAAUGGCCCUUCUUCUACAUUGUUUUUCCUACUAAAUUAGAAGGAAACACACAAAAAACCCUUCUAAACUGUAUAUUUCCUACUUGACAUGGGGAAAUAAUGAGCUUUGGAAGCAACAUUUUAAUUACUGAGAUUCUUCUGUUGACUAAAAUAUUACUAAAGAUAAAGGAUUUCCUGUAGUUAGGUUUUUAAAAAGUACUUACAAAUCUAAGCAUUGUACAGAAUCUGACUCACUAUCUUAGAAGCACCAAGCACGCCACUAUGAACUUCCUGCUCAUGAUAUGGAACAUUAUCAGGUUUAAACUGGUUUUAGUGGCAUUUUUCAAACAGUGAUGAAAUAAAACCUGUAAGAAAACAGAAUGUGUAGAUCAGUGGAAAAUACUAUAUUUCACAGCGUUUUACUCCAAACAGGGAUAAAAUGUAAAAUCAGAAUUAUAUUUAUGCAAUAAUAAUAUGAUUCCUUAAUAUUGGAACACCUACUGUUUUAUAUAAGAACAUUAGAAAAUAUUGAAAUGAAAAAUAUUGCCUUAAAAUGGACAUGUUAGCAUUCAAAUCUACAGUGAUUCAAAAUUAUAGUUGGACUGAGAAUUUUGUCUCAUAAAAAUGAGCCAUUUUUCUUUACUUAUAUUUAAUUAAAUUUAAUAAAUUCAAAUAAAUUUUGUGUUAAAAAUGGUGAAACAUGUUGUACUAACAUUUAAAAAUUAAUAAAACUAUAGUCAGAAAAUGCUCAAAUGAAAAUAAUUAUGAUCUAUUUUAAAGUAAAAUAAUUCAUUAAAUACAUGCAGAGGUGCAAGUUUUGUAAUACAUUUUGAACCUGUAAAACUUAAAUAGGGCAGAAUUUUGCAUGUGUGCAAUUUAAAAUGGUGUGAACAUAACUCUUAAUUUCCAAAGCUGCAGGUUAGGACAAUAAUUGUAUUUAACAUUGCUUAUGAAGGAACAUAAGCACUGCUGAGUGUGUUGAACUAAUUUUAACUGAUUUUUUCCAAAAAGUCAAGUUAUUUUCCUUCCCUCCACAAGUAUAUCUAGAGCUCUGGAAGGCACAACACUCCAGCUCCAUUACAUACGUCAUUACAAAAGCCCUCAAAGACACCAAGCACAGGAGCCACAGCUCCUGUGUAUGGAUGUAUUGAUACAUCCCAUGACAAUCUGUUGGAGCGAAGAACAAAAAGCAGGACAGUGAAGAAUGCACAGGAGGAUCAUGGAUCUUUGCAGAUUCUGCUAUUCUGCAGUACAAAGUGCAAGAAGAUCAACACCUACAAAGUUUGCUUGAGUUCUAAAAUAAACAGCAAACUAGGUUUCCUACUAUCCUGCAGACUGUGAUGAAAUUCCCUCCAUGGAUCCUAACAAAAAAUUCCAUGUUGCUUCCCCGGAAAAAUGAAUGAGGAUUGUAUCAAUAGUCUUAAAUAAUAACAAUAACAUAGUUGAAACAAAUUAUAGAUUCCAUUUGAAUAUUUUAAUAAUUUUAGCUAAUAUAUUUUAAUUAUUUGUUCAUUUGUUUGAAAAUAUAAAAAUUGUAAAAAUAAAAAUUUUGCAAAUAUUUUUUCCUUAAUUGUUAUAUUUGUGUUUAUGAACAGGUGGUACUCUAUAUGCGCCAUAAUUUUAAGAGUUACUUGGUUCCUACCAGAACAGCUCCAUUUUGGUAAGUAUGAAAAGCAAGACAAAAAGCAAAAUCUUUGUGGUUUAUUUCAGACUUUACAAGUUCUAGACAUUGAAUUUCUUGUAAGCUGAAGGGAAAAGGAUGAUGAAAAUUGCAAAGAUCAUAAGGAUGUUUGGUCUGUCUGAAUGAAAAUGUCACAAUUCCCAAAAGACAGGAAAUCUCAAGCUUAUAAAGAAUUCACCCUCAGCAAAAGAGAUGAAUACUUUAAAGACUCAUCAGCACCUCUCCUGUGACAUGCUCUAGCCUUAAAAUGAACUUUGGUUUGGCAGAGCUGCAGAAAAAUUGUGUAAGUCCUAGAGGAGGAGCAGUGAGUGGGUUAGUAAAAGGGAGAAUAGGCAUCAAGCAGGGAAAAGCAGAGGCAUUUAUACAUAUUAUUUAUUCCAUAUAUCUAAGAUAACCUAAUUCUACCCAGAACCUGCCACAAAGCACUGUGGGGGAAUCUGUGGGCACCCUCAGGGCCUGAAGUUGCUGUUUCUCUUUUAUUGAGUUCUUUUCCAGUCUGCUCUUUCUUCAAUUGCUGAUACACAGCACUUAAACAUGUGCAGCAAUGGGAACCUGAGUUUAAGUGAGCAAUGAAUGGGUCCCUAAAAUUUUAUUAGGUUUGUCACUUCAGGGAGGGGUGAACAUACAUUUCCAUACAAAUGCACUUAUCAGAAGCAGAAGAGGUGAAGAAUAGCACAUUAGACCAAAGAAGGAACUAAAUGGAUAAACUUCUCUGAGGACUUCUUUUUCUUUUGCUAAGCAUCAGAUCAUAUCAGCUUCUCUUCUUGCUGCUUGUAAGCACUUUCAAAUCAUAUUGACAGUAUAAAGCACUCCAGUGUUAUAUUGAAUAGAUUCUGUACCUCUUUAAACUUUGAAUCUACUCAAAGGAAUAAUUCUUCAGGAACAAUGCUGCAUUUCUUCCACCCUCUCCUCAUCUCCAGAGCCAGACUAUUUGCUGCAUGAUGCUCUGUAGCUCAGUCCGAGCUAUCAGUGAUCUAGAACCAUUACAGCAAUCAGAUGUGAUCUGCUCUAUCACCAGCAAAUAUGUUGCCAGAAAAAUUUCAGAUUACCACAAUUCUUAUACUAAGUUGGUGAAAUUGUACAUGUUAUUUAAAGCAUGCCUUGAUUUUCAGUUCUGGAGUUGUAUUUUCAAGCGGGCAAUCUGUGUGGCUUAAUUAGCAAUUUUGUUUUAUUGAGCAAGUCCAUACUUUGCACAAAUUAUGAAGGUUGAAUACAAAACAUCAAGGUUGCAUUUUUAGCAAGAAAAUUUUGCACAUGUAGCCGAAAGCCAAAAUUUUAAGCUGAUUUUUACUGCAUGAUGAAUUAAUCAAAAAUUAGCUGUGGCCAAAGAGAAAAUUUUGAUCAUUCAUCCUUAUGGCUGAAAUGUCUACUGACCUCUCUCUCCUGUGCCAAAGCAGCUCCUAUUACUGUGUUCCCACGACUCCCUCUGGUGGCAAACCUCUCAUCCAAAGUGCCGGACAGCAGCUUCCCUUGGUUUUCUCUCUGAUGUUUCAUGGGGAUUAAGACACAUGCUGGUGGAUUCUCAACUCAUUCAGGCAGUGGAAAUCCCAUUAAAGUCUUUUGCUUGAGUUUUAAGAACUAUAUUUUUUUCUUAAUUCCUAUAAGAACUACCUCUUCAACCUAAUAAAGAGACUAUCAUUACAUAUGCAUAAUGUUGAAAAGACUGUAUAAUAAUGCUAAUUUGAAUAAAUAAUUUGUAAAUACAAAUAAGAUUUCUGGUUUACAUACUUCCAUGUAGCCCACAACUAUAUAUACACUUCAGAAAUGGUCCUGGUUUUUCUCAGGCCAGGCUACUAAGGGCAAGACCCGCAUCACAAAUACAAAAACAGGACUUGACAUUCCCAGUUGAAUGUCAUGCUAGGAACAUUAAAUGUUUAUUUGCUUCCAAAGUGGGGAAAUUUACAGCACUCAGUUAUAUAAAGGAACCUUAAUGCCUCUUAACCCACUUCUACUUUAAAGGUUUUUCCUUCCCCUCCACUGGAGAGAGAGCUGCCCACCUGCUGCAGCCCUCGCAGCCCAUCCUCCCUGCCUGCUGCAUAGCAAUGUGGCAGUGGAGCCUGGCAGUCUCUGUGUAUAAGGAAUCCCAGAAACCUGGUAGGAAUCUGAUGACAGAAGACCUGCCAUAGCCUGGCUGGCCAACCAAACUGAUUUAGUACCAAAAUCAUCUUACAUAAUUGAGUCACUUUAAUGAUGGCUAAAAUAAUUUGUUAAUGUUGAAUUACAACUUCUUUUCACUUGUGGCUUUUUCUUUCUUGUGCCCAUCUGACCUCAUCAAGCAAUGCCAAUGGCUAAAAUAUUACAAGAAAUCACGGGUUUUAAAAAAAAAUAAUCUCCCUAAAACUUGCUGUUGAAAAGAAGAAAACACUUCUGUUUAUCCUGCUGUCAAAUAAAAUGUGUUUAUUGGUUACAUUACAGAGAUCAGAUCAUUAACAGGGGUUUUUGCAAGGGCACUGCAUUGGUAAGUCACACACCAUACCCAUACCAAACAUGUAAUUCCUCCUCUCAUCAUGAAUAAAUCAUCUUAGCUGAGAACAAAAGGAUGAUGUGCAAAAGCAGCAUGACUGACCCAAAAGGCAGAAUGGUAAGUGGUAUGUCUGAGGAAUGAAGGGAGAAUGAGUUACAAAGCACUGUAACAGGAUGAUGAUACACUGGUGCUCAAAAUAGAGCAGGCUGCUGUUAAACCAUAGUGUGCAUUACUGGGAGGCUAAGGAGGUCUCUUUAUGUUACCUCUGCUAAACAGGCUCCUACUAUUUUUAACAUUUUAAUUCAGGUUAUAAUUCAGAUCUCUCUUUCAGACACACAUGCGUCCCUGCUGAUAUGUAUGCCCACGAUAUGUGUGACAUAAUUUUCCAUUGCCUAAAGUGGAAAUUUUUAUUCCAAGGCUGUUGUUAUUCUAAAGAAAGGUAGUUCCAGUUACAUGAUCUUAGUGAAUUCAUUGUAACUAAAACUCUGGUCUUUAUUCUGUAAGUAUCUAUGCAUGGGCUUUUUAUGCUUGAAUUUUAUUUAUUAUAAAUGAAUCAUACCUUUGCAGCUCCCAUGAAGAAGAAGCAUGCCUUCUCCAGUGACAUGGAAAGAGAAUAAUGGUGCAAAUGGAACCUGAAUGCAUCAGUCCUGUCCCUGUCUGACAAAAUAGAGUAAACCCUUGCAACAUGCUUUGUCCUCUUCAGUUUGCCCUGUAUUACAACUCCUUAGAGAAAAUUGAGGACUACCAACAAUAAAAAUAAAGAUCAGUACCAGAGAUUAUUCCUAGAGCCCAGUCCCAUACCAAUGUCAUAAUCAUUUGGUUGCAUUUUUCCAUCCUGAAACUUUUUCUUUGUCCAAGUGGAUAUUUUCUACCUGCAGAGUGAUUCAACUACAGCUGAAGGCAGAGCCUGCUAAAUCAGCUGAAAGAAAGAGCACUCUCCUGGUAGAGAGACAGUGUGGAUCCAAACAUCUACAAAUGCAGGAAUGGGUAGAAAUCAGAAUUUCCUGUCCCUGGGGGAAUAUUCUUUAGAUGGACUAUUCUUAAAUGACACCCUCUGUGGAGACUCUAUUCCUUUCUACAAUCCCAGCCUCUCCUUGCCACUGUGAGUCAUGUUUGGAGUCCAUUGUUUUCCACCACCAAGAACUGCAGGAACAAGUAUCUGCUACGUUUCUCCCCUCUCCCUCCUCACUACUACUUAUCUCUAGGAGCAGGCAAAACAUGUCUGUCAUCUCCUGAGGCUGAGCAACUGUUCUUGAGACAUUAUAGCUUACUAUAAACAGAAACCUUAAUUUUUCAGUAUGCCACCUGUCUGACAGAAGGGAAUGAGGAACAAUUGCUGGCUGUGGAUUUCACAGGGAGCUGGAAAAGACAAUGAAAAAUGAACCAAGUUAUGUUUGAUACAGGAAAAUGAAA
Molecule: long non-coding RNA, 8669 nt
Organism: Passer domesticus (house sparrow)
Lineage: Eukaryota; Metazoa; Chordata; Aves; Passeriformes; Passeridae
Exons: 4
Source: RefSeq, a predicted model, not a curated record